UUCCUCUGUUUGUAAAUAUGUUUAUAGAUUGCUAUGUUUUUAUUUAUAAAUGGGUAUAGUUCUAUUUAUAGAUUAUUGUUCUGUUUAUAUCUCCAUAUACUGAUAGAUCUGUCUAGUUAAAUGUGGAUAUGUAUACAGUAACAGAUGUGAUAUAAUUAUAUUUCCAUAUAUGUAAUUUUAUUUACUGAUUUUCAGAGUUAAAUUUAUAUUUGAAUAGAGUAAAAAAAUACAUAUAUGAAGUUAUAUUUAUGAAUGUAUAUAGUUAUAUAGUAAAAGAAUAUGAAUGUUUAGAUGUAUACAUUGAUAGAUAGAUUGCUGUUUGCAUAGACCUAGGCCGCAUUUUUACCUCUCUCCCCCCUUGGCUGCCUUUCUCACCUCUUGCUUUUCCCCCUGUGUCCCCUCUCCAUGUGAUGGGUCCGAGCUGGCGGCCGGGCUGAGCAGAGCAGCACUUCCAGCCCCGGCUGUCCCUGGAGCGGUGGGAGCUGCCGCUGGCCCCAGGCACUGUCCCCUGAGGAGCUGCUGAAGGACGCUGCAAGGAAGACCUUGAGGACAGCCGGAGACUGACUGGAGCCUGCAGGGAGGAGCUGAAGGGCAGCAGCAGGAGCAGGGAACGGGGACCUGCUGCUGCCAGCCUGGAGAGAGCCCAGAUGUCCCAUCUGCUGUCCCUGUCCAGGAGAGCUGCUCUGCAUGGGAGGAGGAGAAUGAGGGAGAGGCUUUGAAGACGGGGCCUCUGCUUCGAGUGCUGUUUAUAGAUAUCUGGACUUACACAGUAGAAUGGAUAAUUAUAUGGAUAUGUACAUGUCUAGGCUUCUAUCUGUGUAGGAAUAUUUCUCUAUACAUGUUGUUUUAUUUAUGGAUGUAUUACGUAUAUAUGUAUGCAUAUAUAUUCAUAUGUUUUUGUAAUUACAUAAAUGUUUAUAUAUGUAUCUAAGUAUACAUGUAUGUUGUUAUAUCUGUGUUUAGUUCUAUUUCCUUGGUUUACAGCUGUGUACAUAUCUUUUUAUACAGAUGCUGGUAUAGCUAUAUGGUUUUUAAAUAGGUAUAUUGGAAUUUGUAUUGGGAGAUAGGUGUAUUUUUUAAUGUAUAUUGUUCUUUUUCUGUCUAUUUAUUGAUAUUUACAUAUGUGUCCAGAUGUAUAGCUCUGGAUGGAUGGAUGGAUAUUUAGCUUGGCAGAAUGGUGUUUGUAUGUAGUUAUAGGUAGGUUUGGUUUAUAUAUCUACUGAUAUAUAUAUAUACAUAUUUACAUAUAUAUUGUAUGUAGUAUGUGAUGUUUAAUCUAUAUUUACAUCUGUAUAUUGUUAUACUUGUAUACGUAUUUAUAUAUAUGCAUAUAUGUAUGUAUUCUGUUCAAACAUAUAUGGAGGAUAUAGUUGUAUAACGCUAUUGAUAUCUUAGUGUAGGGCUAUUUAAAGAGGGAAUGCAUAUUUUUGUAUUUCUAUAUGGGCUCUACGUUUGUAGUAACAUGUAAUAAAUUAGGUUGGUAAAGGCCUAAUUGAUCUUUGUGUAUAGUGAGUUGUGUAUAGUAGAGAUUAGCAAUAAAUCAAGUUUUGUUAACUGAAGCAGUAUUUGUAUAUUUUUGCCUAGACAGGUUGUAAUAAUCUAAUAAAUUCCUGGUUUUACCCUUAA
Molecule: long non-coding RNA, 1626 nt
Organism: Serinus canaria (Common canary)
Lineage: Eukaryota; Metazoa; Chordata; Aves; Passeriformes; Fringillidae
Exons: 3
Source: RefSeq, a predicted model, not a curated record